This 350-nucleotide transfer RNA is filed under the name Calothrix epiphytica TAU-MAC 0399. RNAcentral describes it as "partial 16S-23S ribosomal RNA intergenic spacer". The stretch from base 41 to 113 matches the Rfam family "tRNA". Lineage: Bacteria; Bacillati; Cyanobacteriota; Cyanophyceae; Nostocales; Calotrichaceae. The record is from RNAcentral.
AAUUAAAAACCGAAGGGUUUGAAAUUUUGAGUUGUUAGAUGGGGGUUUAGCUCAGUUGGUAGAGCGCCUGCUUUGCAAGCAGGAUGUCAGCGGUUCGACUCCGCUAACCUCCACAUGUGAGUAAAUUGGAAGUGAACAAAGUCUAAUCUUAGACAAAGAUGUUUAGGGGUUUAGAUUGCGAUAACUUUCAAUAAUAGUCAUAAGAUGAAAGAUAGUGAGUUUGUCUAGCAACUGAUUAAGUCAGACUGCUGGAAAACUCCAGCCAGAACCUUGAAAACUGCAUAUUGACCCGAAAGAUGAAAGUAGGUAGUCAAAAAUCGUGAAGUUUUGAGCGAAAGCGAAGAACAGAA